Molecule: long non-coding RNA, 1075 nt
Organism: Coregonus clupeaformis (lake whitefish)
Lineage: Eukaryota; Metazoa; Chordata; Actinopteri; Salmoniformes; Salmonidae
Exons: 2
Source: RefSeq, a predicted model, not a curated record
CAUCAACAUUAUGUACAAAGUAAGUUACAAACAAUGUGAAAAAACACACAAAAUAGCACAAUUGGUUAGGAGCCCGUUAAACGGCAGCCAUUGACCUUUGAUCAGUGCUUAGAGGGUCGUCUUGGUGUGUGUGAGUCAUUUUGGCAUUUGGGAUUGUUCACUGGGUGUUCAUACAGUACUGUCUGGUAUCAACAACCGAUGCAAUAUACUCCCUCAUUCUGUUAAACUGACUAGCCUCGCCCUCGGGGCUACUGUCAUUCAAAUCAUUAUUACAUUAAGAGCAUUUCAUUUCUUUUUUAAUCCUGUGCUUUGUUUACGUGAAAUGGGGAGUACAUUUUCUUUCAACUCCCUGAGAUAUUAUUGACCUGAGAGAGAAAAUCAUAGGUGCUCAAUGCAUUUCAUACCGACAAGCUUUUGUGUUGUUAUAGAUGUGAAACAAACUACUUGCCGGGAUGCCAUUCUGUUCUAGCAUUAGUCUGCCCAGACUAUGCUGCAGGUUGUCUAAUGCUAAAACAGACUGCCAUUUUUGCUAUUAAACCACUUUAAGCACUGCUGCUGUGUGAUCUCAGGAUGUUGUGUGCAGCACUGACAUGUACACAACUCUUCUGUUGUCUGUUGAUUUAAGUAUUAACACAGUGACUUGGUAUUUGUCUGGUGAUUAUCUGCUCAUGUACUUACUCCUCUCUGUAUAUCCAACUCUUGUCUUGCAGCUGGUCCCAAUUUGCUCCCUACCACUAUGCCCUUGGUCCUAACCAGUAUGUGGACCUGACCCAGAUCUGUAAGGUGUACGCAAUAUGGUGUACGCUCCACCACUACACUGCUUAUACCUUUCCAAAGCCUUCGGAUCCUCAGACAUCAAUGGGUUAGGGCCAAGGGGAGGGCUAUGGAGCACAUUGCGACCAACUGUUACUCUGAGCAAGUCCUCACUGACUAUCUGAUCUAGUUUCACACAAUUCAGCUGUCACUCCGGGUCAUCUUAAUGUGAAUUUGUUCAUUCCUCAACUGUGGGAAAUGUGAAAAGCCUUGUAACAUCACUUCUCAAGUUUGUUUAUACCAAUUAAAAGUUUUGAAUUUA